AUUUCAAUAGUGUAAUAAACACCUUACAUUUUCGCUGUAACAAUGAAGUCCCUACUACUUCUUGAAAUU
RNAcentral lists this transfer RNA (69 nucleotides) under Emerita talpoida. Its description in RNAcentral is "tRNA-Glu". The record is from RNAcentral. Lineage: Eukaryota; Metazoa; Arthropoda; Malacostraca; Decapoda; Hippidae.